UUUUUCUUUUUUUUACAGAUUACAAAAACAGGUUUUAGAAAAGACUCAUACAGAUAGCCAUAUGCAAUGGAAUAUUACUCAGCCAUGAAAAAUAAUGAAAUGACAUUUGCAGCAACAUGGAUGGACUUUCACAUUAAGUGAAGUAAGUCAGAAAGAGAAAUAUAGAUACCAUAUGAUAUCACUUACAUGUGGAAUCUAAAAAUAUAUUUUUAAAAUGAUACAAAUGAACUUAUUUACGAAUCUGAAACAGACUCACAGACAUAGAAAAUAAACUUAUGGUUACCAAAGGGAAUACUGGGGGCGGAGGGGGGGGACGUAAAUUAGGAGUUUGGGAUUAAAAGACACACAACUGGAGUUCCCACUGUGGUUCAGUGAGUUAAGAAUCUGACUGGUAUCCAUGAGGAUGCAGGCUGGAUCCCUGGCCUCCCUCAUGGGCUAAGGAUCUGGCAUUGCAAUGAGCUGUGGCAUAGGUUGCAGAUGUGGCUUGGAUCCCACAUUGCUGUGGCUAUGGCGCAUAGGCCGGCAGCUGCAGCUCUGAUUUGACCCCUAGCCUAGGAAUCUCCAUGUAUCAUGGGUGCAUCCCCCCCCAAAAAAGAGGAAAAAAUUUUUUAAAAAUGGUUUAAAAAAAAAAAGACUCAAAUAAUCCCAAAGCCAUUAAUCCCAAGGCCACCAGCAUAUAAGUGGCCAAGCUGGGACUGGACCCCACAGCUCUGCCCCCCAAACCUCUGCUCCUUCUGCCAGCCCUCACACAGCCAAAAGGCAGAAGGGGAAGUGGACUCCAGGUGGCCCCAGUGGGCAGGACAGGGACAGGGGUCACAGGUGGGGAGAAAACCUUUCUAAUAACCAGAACUACCUGAUCAAAGGUGGCCAGCCUCAGGAGGAGAGGAGCUCAUACAAGAGCUGGCUCAUGGGGACAGAUGGGGUCCUGGAGAUUCCCAUCACUCUGAGGGGCUGUGACACAUGGAAGCAGCACAGGAGCCUGCCAGGGUCUUCCCUCGAGUUUGGGAAGAGUGAGAAAACAGUCUCUCGGAAGCUGCCGAUAAUGAAUCAAUCAAUCACUCAAGCGGCUUGGGACCCUAAUUCCCAGUGCUAAGCCCUUGUCAUGGGACCGGAGCCUGGCCCCCAAGCUGCUGACCACUGUCAGGAGAAACAGGCUCCCGCACAGGGAAACACACACACCAGACUCAGACGAGAGAGGGUGUUUGCUGCAGAAACAAGGGCUAAUGUAUGCGCCACCUCCCAGGUCCCUAAGGAAUCAAAAGAGAGGACAAUGGGACCUGGAGGAUCCAGGGAGAGCACCGCGUUAGAAUGGUGGUCAUGGUCACAGUAUUAUUCACAGCUGGCUUCUCCUGAGCAGUUACUAUGUGCUGAAGGUUUUGCACGCGCUGUAUGAUUUCGCCAUCAGGGCAACCCUGUGAGGCAGGUGCUCUUACGCCCUUUUUACAGACAAGGAGGCAGGCCCAGAGAGGGGGCGUAACUCUCCCACAGUUGCACAGCUAACAUGCGGCAGAGCCAGGACACAAGCCCUGAUCUGUCAGCCUCCAGACCCCAAGUAGAACUGAGAUGCUGGUGCUUCUGGCAUCUCUGCCCUGCUACAGAAAUAGCUCCAAGAAGGAAUGCAGUCAUUUUCUAUUGCUGCCGUAACAAAUUACCAAAACUUAACCACAUGUGUUUAUGACAUAACUGCUCUUCUGGAGGUCAGAGGUGUGAACUACAACCAAGGUACCAGCAGGGCUGCCCUCCUUUCCGGAGGUUCCAGGGGAGAAUUCCCUUCUUUGCCUCUUCCAGCUUCUGGGGGCUGUCCUCCAACCUUGGCACGUGGCCCCUUCCUUCCAUUUCAAAGCCAGCAUUGCCAUGCCUCUCUGUCACAUCUCUCUCUGACCACAGCCAGGAAAGAGUCUCUGAGUUUAAAGAUCCAUGUGAGGCGUUUCCGUCGUGGUGCAGUGGUUAACAAACCCAACUAGCAUUCAUGAGGACAGGGGUUCGAUCCUUGGCCUCGCCCACUGUACUAAGGAUCUGGUGUGGCCUUGAGCUGUGGGGUAAGUUGCAGGUGCGGCUCGGAUCCUGCAUUGCUGUGGCUGUGGUGUAGGCCAGCGGCUACAGCUCCACUUCGACCCCUAUCCUGGGAACCGCCAUACGCUGUAGGUGCAGCCCUAAAAAGACUAAAUAAAUAAAUAAAAAUAAAUUUCCCUAACUGCCUACAAAAGUUUGUUUUAAUAAUUGGUCUGUCUGAAUCAGGACACAAAAAAGACCCUCAUGUCGUACUGGGUUGAUAUGCGUCCUAAAUCUCUCUCAACCUAUAACAAUUUCCAGAAGAUACACGCUUCCCUCUCCACUCUUUUAUACCUUUAUUCCUCAGUCGUGUAAAUGAAUGAUCUACAUAAAAGUUAAAUUCAGGAACUUCUCUUGUGGUACCGAAGGUUAAGGAUCCAGCGUCAUCACUGCAGUGGCUUUGGGUCAAUGCUGUGGCACAGGUUCAAUCCCUGGCCUGGAAACUUCCAUGCGCCAUAAGGAAUGUCCCCCCAAAAAAGUUAAAUCCAGGAGAAAAUACAAAUCUAAUGCUUCCUGGGGACUUAGCCUCCCCAAGGAUGCCAGGUGAGGAAGGGCAGCCCAAGGAGGGGACGAGGGAGCAGAGAGGAUGCUGGGGGCAGCAGGAGACCCCGCCAAAGCCCUUGGGGGGAGUGUGGAGUCAGGGAGCCCAGGGGUCCGGCAUCCUGGGGGCUGUCCUGGCCUGCUUGGCAGAGGUGGAUGGAAGGGUUGUGGGGACACCAGUGACAGGUUGGCCUGGAGCAGCCUGAGGAAAGUCCCUAAAGCUGAGGAUGAUGCAACCAUUCUAAAUGUGCAGCCGGCCGAGAAACCACAGGGAACCCACCACCCACCGUACCGAGCCCAGCGCUACACCAAAGCACCCCCGGACCAGACAGUGGAGGAACAUGGAGGCAGCUAAGCGUGACGGAGAGGGGAGCCAAUGAAACUGGAGGCCAGGGGACCUGAGCUCUCCUCCAGCGCUGCCUCCAGCUGCCUGCACAGUCCUGUGAAGGUCACCUGUCGACGCAGUCCCUUGAGUAACCGAAGCUGGGGGAGAGGGGAAUGAACAAUAAUAUACACUAGCAUUUGCAUGAAUUUGCAUCAAGUAGGUUACACAAAACCCAAAUGAGAGUCAAAUGAGAUCCCGAGUAUGGAAGGGGUAAAUGGAAAUUCUCCCCCAUUUCCUAUUUUGAACAGCCAGAUCCCAAAGCCCCAUUCCUACCAAGUUCCCCACAUUACCCCUGACCUGAGAGGUUGCUGCAGGAUGAAUAGGAGUUUGCUGGCAACAGGAAAGUUACUGCAGACAAGAGAAUGACAGGGUCAAAGGUAGAGACACAGGAACGAGCCCAGGGCGUUCAGAGAAGCAAAGAAGGCAAAGGGCUAAAUCAAUGUGGAAUCUCGGAUUGGACUCCAUGACAGGAAAAGGACAUUAGUAGAGAAAUGAGUGAAAUCUGAAUAAAAUCUGCACUUCAGUUAAUAGCACUCACCAGUGUUAACUUCUUAGUUCUGACAAAUAAACCAUGGUUUUUUUAAGAUGUUAACAUUAGGGGGAAGCCACAGUAUCUUUGCAGCUUUUCUGUAAACCUAAAAUUAUUCCAAAAUAAAAGAGUUAUUAAGAAAGAGAGAGGAGGAGUUCCCACUGUGGCUCAGCAGGUUAGGAACCUGACAUAGUGUCCAUGAGGAAGCAGGUUCAAUCCCUGGCCUUGCUCAGUGGGUUAAGGAUCCGGCGUUGCUCUGAACUGUGGUGUAGGUCACAGCUGAGGCUCAGAUCCUGCAUUACUGCGGCUGUGUCGAAGCCAGCAGCUACAGUUCCUAACCCAGGAACUUCCAUAUGCCGCAGGUAUGGCCAUAAAAAGGAAAAAAAAAAAAAAAAAAGAGAGAGAGAGAGAGAAAGAAUAAAGGACAAAAAGAAAAGUAGUACAAAACAGCUAAAGCAUAUAAGAUGCCAGAAGGGGCGAAUGGGUGAUGGGCAGCAGCAGAGGCCAGGUUGCCAGGGCUUCCUGUGCCACACCAUGGGGUCCAGACUCCACCUCUCUGCAGGCAAUGACUCCAUGGCAAUAUGCCUCCCUCUGGACCAUCCCGCAGGCCCCAGGGUGGACGCCAGCUACAGCUUCUUACUUUCAGCUUCAUCUUAACUACAUUCCACCUGCCCAUAUGUGCCUGAACCCACACAGAAAUAUCCCAGGGCUACACACACACACACACACACACACAAACACACACGCACACACUCCCCACCUAGGAGAAGGGCUGAGUCCAGCCCCUGAUCCUUCUCACGAAUCCAGAACCACUACCCAGAACAGAGGUCAGCAGCCACGGAAAGGGAGGCUGAGGGACAGGACCAAGGCACAAACUAACCUGUCAAUGGC
This 4397-nucleotide long non-coding RNA is filed under the name Sus scrofa (pig). RNAcentral's name for it is "lncRNA (ENSSSCG00060011106.1)". Lineage: Eukaryota; Metazoa; Chordata; Mammalia; Artiodactyla; Suidae. The record is from RNAcentral.